Molecule: ribosomal RNA, 253 nt
Filed under: uncultured bacterium
Lineage: Bacteria
Description: partial 16S ribosomal RNA
Rfam family: Bacterial small subunit ribosomal RNA
Source: RNAcentral
UACGGAAGGUGCAAGCGUUGUUCGGAAUGACUGGGCGUAAAGAGCGCGUAGACGGACUCGUCAGUCGGAUGUGAAAGCCCCGGGCUUAACCUGGGAACUGCAUUCGAUACUGCGAGCCUUGAAUGUCUGAGGGGUUAGUAGAAUUCCCGGUGUAGGAGUGAAAUCCGUAGAUAUCGGGAGGAAUACCAGAGGCGAAGGCGGCUAACUGGCAGAACAUUGACGUUGAGGCGCGAAAGCGUGGGGAGCAAACAGG